Molecule: ribosomal RNA, 497 nt
Filed under: uncultured bacterium
Lineage: Bacteria
Description: partial 16S ribosomal RNA
Rfam family: Bacterial small subunit ribosomal RNA
Source: RNAcentral
GAUGAACGCUGGCGGCGUGCCUAAUACAUGCAAGUCGAGCGAACGGACGAGACGCUUGCUUCUCUGAUGUUAGCGGCGGACGGGUGAGUAACACGUGGAUAACCUACCUAUAAGACUGAGAUAACUACGGGAAACCGGCGCUAAUCGCGGAGAAUCUUUUGAACCGCAUGGGUCAAAGGUGAAAGACGGUCUUGCGGUCACGUAUAGAUGGAUCCGCGCUGCAUUAGCUAGUUGGUAAGGUAACGGCUUACCAAGGCAACGAUGCAUAGCCGACGUGAGGGGGUGAUAGGCCACACUGGAACUGAGACACCGUCCAGACGCCUACGGGAGGCAGCAGUAGGGAAUCUGCCGCAAUGGGCGAAAGCCUGACGGAGCAACGCCGCGUGAGUGAUGACGGUCUUCGGAUCGUAAAACUCUGUUAUUAGGGAAGAACAUAUGUGUAAGUAACUGUGCACAUCUUGACGGUACCUAAUCAGAAAGCAACGGCUAACUACGUG